AGAGAGGCACUGCACUAAUAAAUGUGGAAGAAUGCCAGCUCUGUGGAAAUAUUGACAGGUCUGGUGUAAAAUUCAGUUUUUCCAAUACCACUCCAACUAAACAGAAUGAAUGGAACAUUAGACUCUCAGGGCCUGUGGCUGCAGGUACAUCACUCACUGAACACCUUCCCAGCUAUGCAGCUAAGGGGCGAAGGCCGAUGUUCUGCUUAAAAUCACAAGCCUACCAGCACUUCUUCUGCAGCAGGUUCUCUCUGCAUUAUUUUUUGCUGAGAUGAAUUUACCCACCAUGCCAUGCUGACCACCCUUUGAUGAGAGCUGUCCUGCCAUCACCUAGCAGUCUGAGCACAACAAACCAUGCAACAGCGAUACAGAACCCUAUGACAAAGUUGUUCUCACUCGAGGAUGGUGUUUCAUAUGGUGCAUUUGUUUCCUGGUGAAUCUGCGUGCUCUGCUCCCUCUGCAAUAUUCAUUAACACAGAUACUUCUAUUCUCGAAGAGCUCGUGAAAAUAUGAAGAUGACUAGGGGAAGAGAUCCCAUACAUUUUGGAUGAAGAACACACUGAAGAGUUAAUACAAGAGUCGUGUGGCGUAAGAGACGCCACACUGGACACAGCAAGAUCUUUCAUACAUGGUCAGAGCUCAUAGCCAACCAGAAGAUAAGUAUAUGCUGGUUUCAGUAGUUCAAGUGCUCAAAAAUUAAAUAUUUAGAAAGCACAGUAAUAGAUUCUGUAGAAGAAUUGGGUAAAUCUAAGUAACUACCUGCCCUCCCAUGUCCUCUUGAGAUCCACAUGAUGUGGAGUCCAUUACUUGGGAGCCUCUCUGGCCCAGUCAGGUCAUCAGGCUGGCAGCACUUCCCAUUUGCCUCUGAGCAGUUUUACUCUUUGGCAGCCAAUACCCAGUCACAGAGAUAUUCCUUACAGUGAAAGCAAAUCAUCAUCUUUUUUCCUCAACUUUCCUCAAUAGAUCACUUUUAAAAAAAAGACAAGCUUGUAUAUACAGAAUUUUUAAUUUAUCACUGGUGACAAUUUGUUGCCCUUCAUGACAGUCUCUUAACACAUAAUAGUUGGACAUUUCCUUUCAUCAAGAAAGAAAAAUGACCAUAAAUGGUUCUGUUUCUUUAAAACUACUGUGGUAUUUGACUGUUGCAUUUCACAGGCACGAGGAAGCACAUUUGAAACAAAAAUAAUAAUAUACUCUGGUGGAAUAUUUCCAUGUCUGUGUGUUUAAAGUCUGUGACAUGAACUCAGUGAUCUGCAAGACCUUGUCCAGGAGAUCACAGAUUCACCACUACUUUACAGUUUGACACCACUGUUCUUUCUCAACUGCUAAAAUGCAGCAGUCCCUGUCUGGGGUAUUAUUUAGAGUACUCUAAAUCAAGAACUAAUCUGUGCAACAAGAAAUGUCACCACAAUUUGUUUUAUUUGGAAUGAUCAUAAGGCCAAAAGAUAAAAUUUCUACAUAGGUGCAUAUAUCAUAUUUUAGAAAUAGGCCUUUGAGUGCAUUAUGGAAAUAUGUGGUUGGUACCCACAGGAGAAGGAACUUAAUAAUUAAAAAGAAGCUUAGCUGAAAACAUGGAAAUCCUUUAAUUAACUUGUAUGAUAUAAUGUACCUCUUAGCUGCCUUUCAACUCUUCAGCUGGAAUUAGGUGCAGAAUCUGGCAGGUAACGGGGGACUCUGCCAAUGUUUUAAGUCCCCUUUGUGAGGGAGAUCAAAAGUAAAAAAGAUUGCAAUUAAGAUAUCAUGAUGUGUUCUGAAGAUAUGUGAGAGUGUCUUCAGAACAACAGUUUUGCAGAGCUGCCAGGUGCCUUUGUUCCUAGGUGUUUAUGAUCAUCAUUGUUGUUCCAUCAUCACAAUAGGGUGAAUGCUAUAGAUAAGAUCGCAAGUAUAUAAGGUAUUGCUAUUUAUAUGCACAUCGUGUUGUCUUAUUACAGGUGCAUGCAACUUCUUACUAAGCCAGGGGAAAAGAAAAGCCAGCAUUACUCCUUAGUCCUAUUAAUUAGAAUUAGAGAAUGAAUUAGUUAUAUUUAUUAAAGUCCAAACUUCUGCAAGAAGGCUUUUUGUUGGUGUGCUUAAUCUGAACAUAAUUAAUGGAACAGUAUAUUAAGCAAAUUAAUAUUUGGAGAUAAUUUUAUAAUUUUCAGUACAUAUUUCAAGCAAACUCUUUCAAUUCUCAUCAUCAUCAACAGUGCGAUGUCCUUGGCUGAAGCAAGGAAACAGCUGUUCAGUGUACUUUAUUUUAGAAUUAAUGACUAACUUUUACCGCCCUACUCUUUUUCCCAGAGGUGGAAUAACCCUUUCCCUAGAAUUUUUCAGUGUUUAUCUUAUUGCUUAGGAUAGUUAAAGGGAAAAUGCCUUUUUCGCUUGUGAGCUGGCUCAAGAACACAGUCAGCUGGCCAGGUUGGUUCAAGCCAGACUAUAUUUCAUGCAACAAAAUCUACGAGACCAAAAUCAAUGUUUAAGAAUUGCUAUUAAUAUCUAUCGUUCAUUCAUGCCUUUAUUAAUUACUUCUCUCUCUUCAAUACAUUUAAAGGAAAUCACCACAUUUGAAUAUACUUCCCUGCUCCCCUCUCCUCUGUUUGCCAUAACUCUGCAACUUUGCAGCCUCGGCAGCAGGGCGAGGACAGGAAUCCUGCCAAGGAGCAUUGGGAUAAUUGGAGAUGCUGAACAGGAGAAGGAAGGUUGCACCAUGACCAAGUCAUACCGCUCCCUCCUUUCCUUCUGUCCUUCAUUGCUCAGUAUAGUCUUCUGCUUGCUGGUUUAUAAAGGAGAGGAUCUGCUCAUGAAAAAAUUUUCAUGUGGAAAGCUACACCAAGCAAUUUCUUGAGACUCAGACUGCAUUUCAUUUACAGAAAUGCCAAGGUUGCUAUUGCAUCAAUACUUCUCAGUAGUACACUUUAUUAGGCCCCACCUGUGAAGUGGAAAGGAAUAAGAUUAUUGAAGAAAGCUUGCUUUUACUUGACAGGUUUUCAAGUAACAGAUCUAAUUAUCAUGCCAUAAACUGACAAUUUCAUGGGAUAAUCCUCUGAUAAAUACUGUGUUAGAGCCAACACAUUUUCUCAUUAAGGCAAUUGGAACGGAAAAAGUAUUUUCCUUGCCAUGGGCACAUUAGAACAUGGUCAGGCAGGAGCUAUGAAAAAAACAGGUGGCAACUUUAUUAUAGUUACAGAUAACAUGUUCAACUUCAGACAUGGAACCGGAGAACAAUUCCUGCAGGCAGCUACCAUCCAUGGCUUUCUGCAACAGCGUCACUUUAGCAGGGCCACAUGACAAUAUGGUUUUGUUGGUGCUAUGUGUUUUUAUCUAUGUACG
This 3309-nucleotide long non-coding RNA is filed under the name Gallus gallus (chicken). RNAcentral describes it as "lncRNA (ENSGALG00010002875.1)". The record is from RNAcentral. Lineage: Eukaryota; Metazoa; Chordata; Aves; Galliformes; Phasianidae.